Molecule: non-coding RNA, 65 nt
Organism: Podarcis lilfordi (Lilford's wall lizard)
Lineage: Eukaryota; Metazoa; Chordata; Lepidosauria; Squamata; Lacertidae
Source: the annotation of a GenBank genome assembly
UAGCUCAGUGGCAGAGCAUCGGCCUUGCCAGCCGAAGGUCCCAAGUUCAAUCCCUGGCAUCUCAG